AUGUGGAAAAUCACAUGCUCACUUGUCUCGCCGACAUUACACAAAUCGCAGCGGAUAAUAUCGC
RNAcentral lists this transfer RNA (64 nucleotides) under Thalassiosira minuscula. The record is from RNAcentral. Lineage: Eukaryota; Bacillariophyta; Thalassiosirophyceae; Thalassiosirales; Thalassiosiraceae.